Molecule: ribosomal RNA, 919 nt
Filed under: Chlorociboria olivaceous
Lineage: Eukaryota; Fungi; Ascomycota; Leotiomycetes; Helotiales; Chlorociboriaceae
Description: partial large subunit ribosomal RNA
Rfam family: Eukaryotic large subunit ribosomal RNA
Source: RNAcentral
AGUUACCCGCUGAAAUUUAGCAUUCCAUAAGCGGAGGAAAAGAAACCACCCGGGAUUGCCUCAGUAACGGCGAGUGAAGCGGCAGCAGCUCAAAUUUGAAAUCUGGUCCCCCGAGGGGGCCCGAGUUGUAGUUUGGAGAAGACGCUGUGGGCGCGCGCCCGGGCCCAAGUGCCCUGGGACGGGACGUCGCAGAGGGUGAGAACCCCGUACGGGGCCCGGCGCGCGCGCCCCGCACCCAGCUCUUUCGACGAGUCGAGUUGUUUGGGAAUGCAGCUCCAAGCGGGUGGUAUAUUUCAUCUAAAGCUAAAUACGGGCCGGAGACCGAUAGCGCACAAGUAGAGUGAUCGAAAGAUGAAAAGCACUUUGGAAAGAGAGUUAAACAGCACGUGAAAUUGUUGAAAGGGAAGCGCUGGCGACCAGACGUGGGCGCGGAGGUACCCCCGGCGCAAACGCGCCCGUGGGCAUCCGUCGCGCCCAGGCCCGCAUCAGUCUCGGGGGUCGGAGAAGGGCUGGGGGAACGUGGCUCCCCGCGGGGAGCGUUAUAGCCCCCAGCGUCACGCGGCCCCCCGGGACUGAGGAUCGCGCCGCGGCGAGGAUGCGGGCGUAAUGGUCGUCAGCGACCCGUCUUGAAACACGGACCAAGGAGUCCAACAUCUGUGCGAGUGUGCGGGCGCGCAAAACCCGCGCGCGCAAUCAACGUGAACGCAGGUGGGAACCCCCCCGGGGGGGGCACCAUCGACCGAUCCCGAAGCCCCGCGGACGGAUUUGAGUAGGAGCACAGCUGUUGGGACCCGAAAGAUGGUGAACUAUGCCUGGGUAGGGUGAAGCCAGAGGAAACUCUGGUGGAGGCUCGCAGCGGUUCUGACGUGCAAAUCGAUCGUCAAACCUGGGUAUAGGGGCGAAAGACAAUCAACAAUCC